RNAcentral lists this ribosomal RNA (568 nucleotides) under Allobates sp. n. AFJ-2020. Its description in RNAcentral is "partial large subunit ribosomal RNA". It matches the Rfam family "Bacterial large subunit ribosomal RNA", at positions 1832 to 2597 of the family's 2925-position model. The record is from RNAcentral. Lineage: Eukaryota; Metazoa; Chordata; Amphibia; Anura; Aromobatidae.
CGCCUCUUGAUUAACCAUAAGAGGUCAAGCCUGCCCAGUGACAUUGUUCAACGGCCGCGGAAUUCUAACCGUGCGAAGGUAGCGUAAUCACUUGUUUUUUAAAUGAGGACUAGUAUGAACGGCUUCACGAAUGCUAUACUGUCUCCUUUAUCCCAUCAGUUAAACUAAUCUCCCCGUGAAGAAGCGGGGAUUCACCUAUAAGACGAGAAGACCCUAUGGAGCUUUAAACACUCUUAAACAUUUGAUCCUUUACUCACCACUUUCAGAAAACUUCACUAAACCCAUCACUUUGUUUAAACUUUUAGGUUGGGGUGACCACGGAGAAUAACUUAACCUCCACGUGGAAAGAAACUUACUUCUAAGCAAAAAGCUACAUCUUUAUGUAUCAAAAUAUUGACCUAAAUUGACCCAAUUAUUUGAUCAACGAACCAAGUUACCCUAGGGAUAACAGCGCAAUCCGCUUUAAGAGCUCCUAUCGACAAGCGGGCUUACGACCUCGAUGUUGGAUCAGGGCAUCCCAGUGGUGCAGCAACUACUAACGGUUCGUUUGUUCAACGAUUAAAGCCCU